Acanthosepion pharaonis is the source of this 86-nucleotide non-coding RNA. Lineage: Eukaryota; Metazoa; Mollusca; Cephalopoda; Sepiida; Sepiidae. The record is from the annotation of a GenBank genome assembly.
UUCACAUACGAUCACCGAAGUUAAGCAACAUCGAGCCUGAUAAGUACCUAAAUGGGUGACCGCUUGAGAACACCAAGUUCUGCAAG